GAAUAUGAAGCGAUUUAUUGCAAUUAGUUUCGACCUAAUCUUAGAUGCCUACAUCCUUAUUCU
Molecule: transfer RNA, 63 nt
Filed under: Medetera sp. Qilemoge-2020
Lineage: Eukaryota; Metazoa; Arthropoda; Insecta; Diptera; Dolichopodidae
Description: tRNA-Arg
Source: RNAcentral